RNAcentral lists this microRNA precursor (136 nucleotides) under Gossypium hirsutum (cotton). Its description in RNAcentral is "MIR7502 microRNA precursor family". It matches the Rfam family "MIR7502 microRNA precursor family". The record is from Rfam by way of RNAcentral. Lineage: Eukaryota; Viridiplantae; Streptophyta; Magnoliopsida; Malvales; Malvaceae.
AAUUAAAUUUUUUAUCCAUUUAAAAAUUGGCAUGACUAAUGGAAUAACUAGUAGCUACAUAUGGCAUGUCACGUGUACCUCAUGUCGACGUAUAUGAACCAUAUUUUAACAAUAGAAAUGGAUGAAAUUUUUAACA